UACGAAGGGAGCUAGCGUUGUUCGGAAUUACUGGGCGUAAAGCGCACGUAGGCGGAUUGCUAAGUCAGGGGUGAAAUCCCGGGGCUCAACCUCGGAACUGCCUUUGAUACUGACAAUCACGAGUCCGAUAGAGGUGGGUGGAAUUUCUAGUGUAGAGGUGAAAUUCGUAGAUAUUAGGAAGAACACCGGUGGCGAAGGCGGCCCACUGGAUCGGUACUGACGCUGAGGUGCGAAAGCGUGGGGAGCAAACAGG
Molecule: ribosomal RNA, 253 nt
Filed under: uncultured bacterium
Lineage: Bacteria
Description: partial 16S ribosomal RNA
Rfam family: Bacterial small subunit ribosomal RNA
Source: RNAcentral